Molecule: non-coding RNA, 29 nt
Filed under: Mus musculus (house mouse)
Lineage: Eukaryota; Metazoa; Chordata; Mammalia; Rodentia; Muridae
Source: RNAcentral
UGUUUUUGUCUUCAGUUUUUGUGCCAUUA